GGAAGUAAAAGUCGUAACAAGGUUUCCGUAGGUGAACCUGCGGAAGGAUCAUUACUGAGUGAGGGCCCUCUGGGUCCAACCUCCCACCCGUGUUUAUUUACCUUGUUGCUUCGGCGGGCCCGCCUUAACUGGCCGCCGGGGGGCUUACGCCCCCGGGCCCGCGCCCGCCGAAGACACCCUCGAACUCUGUCUGAAGAUUGUAGUCUGAGUGAAAAUAUAAAUUAUUUAAAACUUUCAACAACGGAUCUCUUGGUUCCGGCAUCGAUGAAGAACGCAGCGAAAUGCGAUACGUAAUGUGAAUUGCAAAUUCAGUGAAUCAUCGAGUCUUUGAACGCACAUUGCGCCCCCUGGUAUUCCGGGGGGCAUGCCUGUCCGAGCGUCAUUGCUGCCCUCAAGCACGGCUUGUGUGUUGGGCCCCGUCCUCCGAUUCCGGGGGACGGGCCCGAAAGGCAGCGGCGGCACCGCGUCCGGUCCUCGAGCGUAUGGGGCUUUGUCACCCGCUCUGUAGGCCCGGCCGGCGCUUGCCGAUCAACCCAAAUUUUUAUCCAGGUUGACCUCGGAUCAGGUAGGGAUACCCGCUGAACUUAAGCAUAUCAAUAAGCGGAGGA
Molecule: unclassified non-coding RNA, 608 nt
Filed under: Scopulariopsis brevicaulis (arsenic fungus)
Lineage: Eukaryota; Fungi; Ascomycota; Sordariomycetes; Microascales; Microascaceae
Description: partial contains small subunit rRNA, ITS1, 5.8S rRNA, ITS2 and large subunit rRNA
Rfam family: 5.8S ribosomal RNA (bases 230-382)
Source: RNAcentral